Molecule: transfer RNA, 73 nt
Filed under: Candidatus Methanofastidiosia archaeon
Lineage: Archaea; Methanobacteriati; Methanobacteriota; Candidatus Methanofastidiosia
Description: tRNA-Arg
Rfam family: tRNA
About the family: Transfer RNA (tRNA) molecules are approximately 80 nucleotides in length.
Source: RNAcentral
GGGCCUGUGGUCUAGUGGAUAUGGCGCGGGGCUUCGGACCCUGAGAUCGGGGGUUCAAAUCCCCCCAGGCCCG